GCCGCGAACUUCCCCCACGGCCGCUGGCGCACCCCGCGGUAGUGCUUCCCCUUCGACGGCGCCGCCGGAGGGAGAACCGCCGGCGCAGCCGGCGUCGGUUUCAGCUCCGGCUCAGCCGGUGCAGGCUCUGAGAGGAAGAUGAGAUCGGUGGCGGCGGUGCCGUCGGGGGACCAGCCAUGGGAGAAGGCGUCGCGGAGAGUGCCG
This 204-nucleotide unclassified non-coding RNA is filed under the name Hevea brasiliensis (rubber tree). The record is from RNAcentral. Lineage: Eukaryota; Viridiplantae; Streptophyta; Magnoliopsida; Malpighiales; Euphorbiaceae.